UACAGGAACAGGGUGGUGGUGUUGUUUGCUGUAAUGUUUCUAGUAAAUAGAAGUCAAGCAUGGAGAUGUGGUUUGGGGGUGAGAAAUGUUAACUGUCGGCUUCAAGGCCAAAGCAAUACAAAUGGCCAUCGGAAGGGGGUUGUGGGACCAGUAAGUUCAGGGCUAAAUUUAACCAGCAAGAUGCACUUUGACUUUGCAGGUCCCAUCUUCUGAUUCUGGUUUUAACAUUGCAUUUGUGAGGGCUCCCUUGGACAAGAAACAAGGACACCAGCCAGGAAUACCAGAGCAAAACAGCAGCCAGUAGGCUUGGUCUUUAUUGAAGACUGUCGCGACAGGACUCCCACCUGCCACAAGGUGGAACAAAAUGAAAGCCCCAAACAAAAGAGCCCCCAAACUUUUAUUAGCUGCUAAUCCCCAUGUUACCCCCCCAAACUACAUCACUCAUACAUCACAGUUACAUCAUGAAAGGGGAGGUCUGGUGGCAGUAAUCUGAGCAUCCUGGACCCUGCCCCAUGGUUCUCCUUGCCCUCCACCAAACACCCAUCAAGUGUAACAAAAGAGAUAUUUACAUUUCCCUGUUUCCCAGCCAAGUUAUAAUCACACCCUUUUGUCUUCAUCUGGGUUUGUUAUUUCUGGAAUGGCACUCAGGUAUCAGGAUGCCAGGGAUUAUCACUCAGGCAGAGGGGCUGCUGAGUAGCUGAGCUCACGUCUAUAUGAAUUUCUGAAGUUUUCCCUGUGAGCCAGUACAUUUAUCAGUGAAUUCUUACAUUUGGUAUUGUGCAGCAGAGACCCUUUGAAUAGAUAGGAAGAAACUGUGAUGAAGUGUUUUGUGGGGACAAAUCACAAAAGUCACAAAAGCGAUUGUGCUGAUUUUGGUAGUGGGCUGCAUGUGCAUGAUUUCUGCUGGAGGGGCAACCCCCCCAACCUAUACAUAAAUUCCUGCAACACAUUUUAAUAUUGCAGCAACUGCUUAAUGCACAGGUCAACGAGGUGCAGGAGCCCUGCCGCUUUUGGCAACGAGGCGCCUUCAAUAGGAGGAGCACAAAUCUCAAUCAAACCUACUGGGUGCGUUUUAAAACGAUUCCGGAGGGGUGGUAGGUGUGAAAGGGUUAAGGGUAAAAAAAGAUAAAGCGCGCCUCGCUUUCUAGAGCGGCCCUGAGAAUGAGUGGGCACGUGGGUGUGCGCCGAUUCGUGUUGAAGGUUCCUUCCUGUUCCGCCUUCUGGACCCUCCCGCUGUUGGCAGAAGUGGCACCUGGAGUUCAGCUGCAGCAGCGACCUUGCAGGGGUCGCCCUCAAAAGAGCUGAGCUGGCUGCAGCUCUCGUGAGGUUUCAGGCAGGAGAAAUUUCCAGCCUUUAACAUGGAGAUGCCGGGGACUGAACCUGACAGUUAUUGAUGACUAUGCUUGGCUAUGCUUGGAGGAAAUAAUGCUUCUGAAUACCAGUUGCUGGAAACCACAGGAGGUGAGCAUGCCCUUGUGCUCGGAUCCUGCUUGCAGGUUCAUCUUAUUUGAACAUCCUCAGAGCCUUCCCUCAGAGUGGAGACCUGGAGAAGGGCCUCAGAAGAAGAUCUAAAGGUCUGGGUAGGUUCAUAUCAGGAGAGACAUUCCAGAAUAUAUUGGGGUCUUGAGCUGCGUCAGCAUGGAGAAUUGAGCUUGUCCUGAGCCUAUGGCAUCACUGCCAUUCCUUUCCAAAACUGUGACACUGCAGAAGGUCGCAUCUGUGGCAUCGGAUCAGCCUGUUGAAUGAGCAUCAGGGUGAGCAUCAAACUCAUGGGCUGUGGGACGGCGAAGACUUCAUGGUGGGCUCUUCUGAGAGCAGCUGUAAG
Long non-coding RNA from Podarcis raffonei (Aeolian wall lizard), 1825 nucleotides. RefSeq lists it as uncharacterized. NCBI's taxonomy places the organism in Eukaryota, Metazoa, Chordata, Lepidosauria, Squamata, Lacertidae. The record is from RefSeq and is a predicted model, not a curated record. The transcript has 3 exons.